Molecule: ribosomal RNA, 457 nt
Filed under: uncultured bacterium
Lineage: Bacteria
Description: bacterial SSU rRNA
Rfam family: Bacterial small subunit ribosomal RNA
Source: RNAcentral
UACGGAAGGCAGCAGUGGGGAAUAUUGCACAAUGGGCGCAAGCCUGAUGCAGCCAUGCCGCGUGUAUGAAGAAGGCCUUCGGGUUGUAAAGUACUUUCAGUCGUGAGGAAGGUGUUAAGGUUAAUAACCUUAGCAAUUGACGUUAGCGACAGAAGAAGCACCGGCUAACUCCGUGCCAGCAGCCGCGGUAAUACGGAGGGUGCGAGCGUUAAUCGGAAUUACUGGGCGUAAAGGGCACGCAGGCGGUUAAUUAAGUUGGAUGUGAAACGUCCCCGGGCUUAACCGUGGGAAUGGCAUUCAAGACUGGUUAGCUAGAGUCUUGUAGAGGGGGUAGAAGUUCCAGUGUGUAGCGGUGAAAUGCGUAGAGAUGUGGAGGAAUACCGGUGGCGAAGGCGGCCCCUGGACAAAGGCUGACGCUCAUGUGCGAAAGCGUGGGGAGCGAAAACAGGGAUUAGAU